RNAcentral lists this non-coding RNA (29 nucleotides) under Mus musculus (house mouse). The record is from RNAcentral. Lineage: Eukaryota; Metazoa; Chordata; Mammalia; Rodentia; Muridae.
UGGGAAUGGGAGUUUGUCUACUUGUUCAG